Molecule: long non-coding RNA, 2060 nt
Organism: Pseudopipra pipra
Lineage: Eukaryota; Metazoa; Chordata; Aves; Passeriformes; Pipridae
Exons: 3
Source: RefSeq, a predicted model, not a curated record
GGACGGCGUGUUCCCGCUCACCUGAUUUAUUAGCCCUGCUCCCACACACAGACGAGCGUUCUUCCCGGGAAGAAAAGCUGGAGACAGUCCCUUGGAAACAGCCAAGUGUUUGUCUGUGCUUUCAUUCCUCGGAGCAGAGGGAGAAAGGGAAAAAAAUACAGCAGGGAGAGCUUGAAAAAUCCGAGCAAUCAGAGGCACUUCCAGGGCUGGACGACAACAAGGAUUCAGGGUUUCUGUGGGGAAGGCUGGGCUGGAGACCUGAGGAGUUCUGCACAUUCCAAAAAACAAACAGCAGACUCAUCCUUGGGGGUUUGUUUGCAGAACUGCAGGAACCAGAGAUGGAAGAGACCCAUUAACUCAUCUGUCUGUUCCCUCCAGGGCAGAGCAGGGUUUCUCCCUGAGGGGGUUAUUUUUAGCACUCUGUCGAGCAGAGUUUUCAGCGUCUCAUGACACGGAGGUUUCUUUUCCAGGGAUUUAGAGUGAGCCCUGCCUGGGAAGGAAGGAGGCAACAGAGCCUCAGCUCUCCAGGGAUCUUUGUUCUUACAGAGAAGAGGAAAUGUGACAAUUGCUCUGGAAGAAGCUUCACACAGGCAUCCCACAUCCCAGGAGAUGUCAUACACCCUUGGAUGACUGGCACCUGUCCCCAGGCUCAGCAGGCAGAGGUAAGUUGUGCCAGAGGGUGAUUUCGGGCGUGGAUUUGGGGUGACUGUGCUCCCUGUGCUCUGCAGGGAGCCCGGAGAACCAGCACCAGAGCUGCCAAGCUGCUGCCCCAGGUCCAGGGCAGCUCUGGGCUCUCACACCCAUAGGAUAUUUCAAAGACAUCCUGGAUUAACAGCCUCAGCCUCCUCAGCAGGGUCUGGAGGGUCCAGCAUCACCUGCAGCUCCUGUGAUCCUGUGACAAGAGGCAUCAGCCUCGAGCUGUGCCAGGGGACGUUUAGGUUGGUUAUGAGGGAAAGUGUCUUCAUGGGAAGGGUGGUCAGGCAUGGAACAGGCUGUCCAGGGAGGUGGUGGAGUCCCCACCCCUGGAGGGAUUUAAAAGCCAUGUGGAUGUGGCACUUGGGGACAUGGGUCAGUGGUGGCCUUGGCAGUGCUGGGGAAUGGUUGGACUUGGUGGUCUUAGAGGACUUUUCCAGCCUAGAGGAUCCCAUGACUCUGUGAUUCCCUGGAUGGCAUUGCCAGCACUCCAAGGGCUGCUCAGCUCCUGCGAGGCUGCAGCUGCUGGACAAGGAUGGACAUUCCGGGACAUUCCAGGCUCUCUCCUGGACGUGUCUCUCCCUCCUUCCUGCGACUCCCUUUGAUCUCAGAAUUCCAAUUGCUCCCAGCCCCACCAGGACCACGCUCUGCCACAGGACAUUGCAAGGGCCACACACUGUCCUGGGGCACUGUGAGGGCCACACACUUCCAUGGAACAUGGGGAUGGCCAUGUGGUGCCAUGUGACAUCACAGUGGCCAUGCACUGCCACAGGACAUUCCAGUGGCCACACACUGCCAUGGGACAUUCCAAGGGUCACACACUGCCACAGGACAUUCCAAGGGUCACACACUGCCACAGGACAUUCCAAGGGUCACACACUGCCACAGGACAUGGUGAUGGCCGAAGUCCCAAGCAGGCUUGGGCCAUGCUGCUGAACAGUCUUGGCACAACCACUCCCCAUGCUGCAUCCCUGUGGGAUUCAGGACAUUCCCCCCCUGUUUUCCUCACCCUUUCCCCCCGCAGCCCCGAGCAGGAGGGGUUCUGUCCACACAGAGCUGGCCUGGGCUGUGUUCCCCCCCUGGGGGCACCUGGGUGAGCCAAGAGGUUUGGUUUUACUCUGCUGCACUUUGCCCAAAAACAUUGCCUGAACAUUAUCACAGGAACCUGCCAAAUCUUAAUUUUUCCAGUUUGCAAGUAAGAGCCUCUAAACCAUCUGUUUGCUGUCAACUGAUGUUUGUUUGGAGAGGGAUUUUAUUAUUUUUUUCCAUCUCGCACUCCUGUUCCUACAACUAGUUUACUGAACUCCAUAAACGUCAGCUCUCACAGUUGUUUUGUGAGCCAGUUAUGAUUUAGGAUUUAAUCAAAA